RNAcentral lists this ribosomal RNA (138 nucleotides) under uncultured eukaryote. Its description in RNAcentral is "partial 18S ribosomal RNA". It matches the Rfam family "Eukaryotic small subunit ribosomal RNA", at positions 1299 to 1458 of the family's 1831-position model. The record is from RNAcentral.
UGGUGGAGUGAUUUGUCUGGUUAAUUCCGAUAACGAACGAGACCUUAACCUGCUAACUAGUCUCGCUCAUUUUAUGGGUGCUGACUUCUUAGAGGGACUAUGUGGACGAUAAGCACAUGGAAGUUUGAGGCAAUAACA